GUUAGAAUAGUAAAGGGCCAGGUUUACACCUACUAGUGUUAGAAUAGUAAAGGGCCAGGUUUACACCUACUAGUGUUAGAAUAGUAAAGGGCCAGGUUUACACCUACUAGUGUUAGAAUAGUAAAGGGCCAGGUUUACACCUACUAGUGUUAGAAUAGUAAAGGGCCAGGUUUACACCUACUAGUGUUAGAAUAGUAAAGGGCCAGGUUUACACCUACUAGUGUUAGAAUAGUAAAGGG
Oncorhynchus keta (chum salmon) is the source of this 239-nucleotide long non-coding RNA. RefSeq lists it as uncharacterized. The record is from RefSeq and is a predicted model, not a curated record. Lineage: Eukaryota; Metazoa; Chordata; Actinopteri; Salmoniformes; Salmonidae. The transcript has 3 exons.